UGUGGCAGAAUAGUGCAAUAAAAUUAAGAUUUAUCUAUAAAGUUUCCUUUCUUUAGAAA
RNAcentral lists this transfer RNA (59 nucleotides) under Dihammatus sp. UPOL A00596. Its description in RNAcentral is "tRNA-Leu". The record is from RNAcentral. Lineage: Eukaryota; Metazoa; Arthropoda; Insecta; Coleoptera; Lycidae.